RNAcentral lists this ribosomal RNA (201 nucleotides) under uncultured prokaryote. RNAcentral's name for it is "partial 16S ribosomal RNA". It matches the Rfam family "Bacterial small subunit ribosomal RNA", at positions 524 to 724 of the family's 1533-position model. The record is from RNAcentral.
UACGUAGGGUGCGAGCGUUGCCCGGAUUUAUUGGGCGUAAAGGGCGCGUAGGCGGCCACGCACGUCCGUUGUGAAAUCGCCCGGCUCAACUGGGCGGGGUCAGCGGAUACGGUGUGGCUAGAGCAAGCUAGGGGGCAAUGGAAUUCCCGGUGUAGUGGUGGAAUGCGUAGAUAUCGGGAGGAAGGCCGGUGGCGAAGGCGG